This 253-nucleotide ribosomal RNA is filed under the name uncultured bacterium. RNAcentral describes it as "partial 16S ribosomal RNA". It matches the Rfam family "Bacterial small subunit ribosomal RNA", at positions 524 to 776 of the family's 1533-position model. The record is from RNAcentral.
UACGUAGGGUGCGAGCGUUGUCCGGAAUUAUUGGGCGUAAAGGGCUCGUAGGCGGUUUGUCGCGUCGGGAGUGAAAACACUGGGCUUAACUCGGUGCUUGCUUUCGAUACGGGCAGACUAGAGGCAUGCAGGGGAGAACGGAAUUCCUGGUGUAGCGGUGAAAUGCGCAGAUAUCAGGAGGAACACCGGUGGCGGAGGCGGUUCUCUGGGCAUGUCCUGACGCUGAGGAGCGAAAGUGUGGGGAGCGAACAGG